AGUGAACGCUGGCGGCGUGCCUAAUACAUGCAAGUCGAACGGAGUGGCGCACGGGUGUGUAAUGUAUAGCUAAUCUGCCCUACACUAGAGGACAACAGUUGGAAACGGCUGCUAAUACUCUAUAGUGUAGGUUGAGGCUAUAUUGUAUCAGCUAGUUGGUGAGGUAAUGGCGCACCAAGGCUAUGACGCAUAACUGGUCUGAGGGGAUGAUCAGUCACACUGGAACUGAGACACGGUCCAGACUCCUACGGGAGGGAGCAGUAGGGAAUAUUGCUCAAUGGGGGAAACCCUGAAGCAGCAACGGCGCGUGGAGGAUGACACUUUUCAGAGCGUAAACUCCUUUUGUUAGGGAAGCGGUACCUAACGAAUAAGCACCGGCUAACUCCGUGCCAGCAGCCGCGGUAAUUC
Molecule: ribosomal RNA, 408 nt
Filed under: uncultured bacterium
Lineage: Bacteria
Description: partial 16S ribosomal RNA
Rfam family: Bacterial small subunit ribosomal RNA
Source: RNAcentral